GGGGAAUAUUGCACAAUGGGCGAAAGCCUGAUGCAGCAACGCCGCGUGAGCGAUGAAGGCCUUCGGGUCGUAAAGCUCUGUCCUCAAGGAAGAUAAUGACGGUACUUGAGGAGGAAGCCCCGGCUAACUACGUGCCAGCAGCCGCGGUAAUACGUAGGGGGCAAGCGUUAUCCGGAAUCAUUGGGCGUAAAGGGUGCGUAGGCGGCCCUAUAGGUCAGAGGUCAAAGGCUACGGCUCAACCGUAGUAAGCCUUUGAAACUGUAGGGCUUGAGUGCAGGAGAGGAGAGUGGAAUUCCUAGUGUAGCGGUGAAAUGCGUAGAUAUUAGGAGGAAUACCAGUAGCGAAGGCGGCUCUCUGGACUGUAACUGACACUGAGGCACGAAAGCGUGGGGAGCAAAC
Molecule: ribosomal RNA, 399 nt
Filed under: uncultured bacterium
Lineage: Bacteria
Description: bacterial SSU rRNA
Rfam family: Bacterial small subunit ribosomal RNA
Source: RNAcentral